GGAUGAGAUCUCUGAAUAUCCUAAGCCAAGUGCAGGCCAUAGGAGAAAGCAGUGAAAAAGAAACACUGUGACAAGCAAGGAAGAAACUUCAGACCAAGUUGACAGGCAGCCCUUCAGUUUACUGACUGCCGCUUCUUACCUGCCAACGCCAAGCACAAAGCUGCCUGCAGAGCCAGCCUCUAUCUGUGGUCCUUGUGCCAAUUAUCACUGCCCCACUCAUGCCGCAGGAUAUAAAGCAGAGUGACAGGGUCACAGGACUGCCAGAGGAAUACAGGCUACUAAAGUUGAGAGGUGAAGCCAGCUGGACUUCUGGGCCAGGCUGCAGUGCAGUGGUGCCAUCUGGGCUCACUGCAACCUCUGCCUCCCAGGUUCAAGUGAUCCUCAUGCCUCAGCCUCCUGAGUAACUGGGAUUACAGCUUCUAGAGGCUACCCACAUUCCUGGGCUAAUGGCCCCUUCCUACAUCUUCAAAGCCAGCAGUGGUGGGCUGAGUCUUUCUCCUGGUAUCAUCUCUUCAUUCUCUAUCUCCCUCUCCCAAUUUUAAGGACCUCUGUGAUUAUAUUGGGCACCUGGAUAUUGCAGGAUACGCUCUCUAUUUUAAGGCUAUGCUCCGUAAAGAGAGUGCCUCCUCUAGAAUCACAAGACCUAAGCAUGAAUCUUCCUUUGAAGGAUAAAAUGGAAGGAAAAAAACUGGAUGAGGAAAAGAAGAGUGGGGAAUAGAAAGAGAGAGAGAGAGAAAGAUGGAUAAAUUUUUAAAGUUACUAUAAUAAAAAUCUUCUACAACGAAA
Molecule: long non-coding RNA, 786 nt
Filed under: Homo sapiens (human)
Lineage: Eukaryota; Metazoa; Chordata; Mammalia; Primates; Hominidae
Description: HSALNT0372909
Source: RNAcentral